This 466-nucleotide ribosomal RNA is filed under the name uncultured bacterium. RNAcentral's name for it is "partial 16S ribosomal RNA". It matches the Rfam family "Bacterial small subunit ribosomal RNA", at positions 28 to 507 of the family's 1533-position model. The record is from RNAcentral.
GACGAACGCUGGCGGCGUGCUUAACACAUGCAAGUCGAACGGAAAGGCCCUGCUUUCAGUGUUCUCGCGUGGCGAACGGGUGAGUAACACGUGGGUGAUCUGCCCUGCACUUCGGGUUAGGCUUGUGCAACUGGGUCUAAUACCGGACAGGAGCCAUCUUUAACCUGGUGGUUGGAUAGUUUUUUCGGUGUAUGCUGAGGUCGCGGACUAUCUGCUUGUUGGUGGGGUAAUUGCCUACCAAGGCGGCGAGGGGGAGCCGGCCUGCGAGGGUGUACAGCCACACUAGAACUGAAAGACGGGCCAGAGUAGUACGGGAGGCAGAAGGGGGGAAUAUUGGACAAAGGGCGCAAGCCUGAGGGAGGGAGGCCGCGGGAGGGAUGAAGGCUUUUGGGUUGUAAACUCCUGUGGCUAGGGAAGAAGCUUUUUUGUGACGGUACCUAGAGAAGAAGCACCGGCUAACUACGUG